GAUGAAGAACGUAGCGAAAUGCGAUAAGUAAUGUGAAUUGCAGAAUUCAGUGAAUCAUCGAAUCUUUGAACGCAUCUUGCGCUCCUUGGUAUUCUGAGGAGCAUGCCUGUUUGAGUGUCAUUAAAUUCUCAACUACACUGACUUUGAAUUGGUGUGGCUUGGAUUUGGGGGGAAAAUUGUUGUGGGCUUUUUGUAUAGUCUGCUCCCCUGAAAUUGAUUAGCGGUACCUUUGUGGAACUGUCUACAGGUGUGAUAAUUAUCUACAUCUUAGACAUCUGCUGGAAUGCUGCUUUCUAAACCUUACUUGUAUUGACAAUCUUGACCUCAAAUCAGGUAGGACUACCCGCUGAACUUAAGCAUAUCGAUAAGCGGAGGA
Molecule: unclassified non-coding RNA, 376 nt
Filed under: soil metagenome
Description: partial contains 5.8S ribosomal RNA, internal transcribed spacer 2, and large subunit ribosomal RNA
Rfam family: 5.8S ribosomal RNA (bases 1-120)
Source: RNAcentral